RNAcentral lists this ribosomal RNA (424 nucleotides) under uncultured archaeon. Its description in RNAcentral is "partial 16S ribosomal RNA". It matches the Rfam family "Archaeal small subunit ribosomal RNA", at positions 323 to 746 of the family's 1478-position model. The record is from RNAcentral.
CUACGGGAGGCUCCAGUUAGGGAACUUCUACAAUGCACGCAAGUGUGAUAGAGCAAGCCAGAGUGCUUUCAUAUAAUUUGAAAGCUUUUGUGAGAUGUAAAAAGUCUCACGAAUAAGGACUGGGAAAGACUGGUGCCAGCCGCCGCGGUAAUACCAGCGGUCCAAGUCGCAGCCACAUUUAUUGGGUCUAAAACAUCCGUAGCUUGUUUUGUCAGUCUUCUGUGAAAUCUGGCCCCUCAAGGGUCGGGCGCGCAGGAGAUACUGCAAAACUAGAGACCGGGAGACGUAAGGAGUACGGUUAGGGUAGCGGUAAAAUGCGUUGAUCCUUUCUGGACUAACGAUAGCGAAGGCACCUUACGAGAACGGUUCUGACAGUCAGGGAUGAAGGCUAGGUUCGCAAAACGGAUUAGAUACCCGGGUAGUC